GACGAACGCUUGCGACGUGCCUAAGAAAUGCAAGUCGAACGGAUCAGCAGCAAUGCUGGUUAGUGGCGAACGGUCGCGUAACACGUGGGCAACCUGCCCUGAAGCGGGGGACAACAACUCGAAAGAGUUGCUAAUACCGCAUGUGUAUCGGGAUGGCAUCAUCCAGGAUACAAAGCCGCAAGGCACUUCAGGAUGGGCCCGCGGCCUAUCAGCUAGNGGUGAGGUAACGGCCCACCAAGGCUUCGACGGGUAGCUGGCCUGAGAGGACGAUCAGCCGGAUUGGGACUGAGAUACGGCCCAGACUCCUACGGGGGCAGCAAUUAGGAAUCUUGCACAAUGGGCGAAAGCCUGAUGCAGCGACGUCGCGUGAGGGAUGAAGUC
Molecule: ribosomal RNA, 381 nt
Filed under: uncultured bacterium
Lineage: Bacteria
Description: bacterial SSU rRNA
Rfam family: Bacterial small subunit ribosomal RNA
Source: RNAcentral